GACGAACGCUGGCGGCGUGCUUAACACAUGCAAGUCGAACGGAAAGGCCCUGCUUGCAGGGUGCUCGAGUGGCGAACGGGUGAGUAACACGUGGGUGAUCUGCCCCUUACUUUGGGAUAAGCCUGGGAAACUGGGUCUAAUACUGGAUAGGACCAUGCUGUAGGUGGUGUGGUGGAUAGAUUAGUUUCGGUAAGGGAUGAGCUCGCGGCCUAUCAGCUUGUUGGUGGGGUAAUGGCCUACCAAGGCGUCGACGGGUAGCCGGCCUGAGAGGGUGGACGGCCACAUUGGGACUGAGAUAAGGCGCAGAAGACUACGGGAGGCAGCAGAGGGGAAUAAUGCAGAAUGGGCGGAAGCCGGAUGAAGCGACGACGCGUGGGGGAUGACGGCGUUCGGGUUGUAAACGCCUUUCAGCCAUGACGAAGCCCUUGUGGUGACGGUAGUGGUAGAAGAAGCACCGGCUAACUACGUG
RNAcentral lists this ribosomal RNA (469 nucleotides) under uncultured bacterium. RNAcentral's name for it is "partial 16S ribosomal RNA". It matches the Rfam family "Bacterial small subunit ribosomal RNA", at positions 28 to 507 of the family's 1533-position model. The record is from RNAcentral.